GAUAGGAUUGUGAUUUGUUGUGUAAUAGGUUUAGAAUUGUGAUUUGGUUGUGUUGAAUUGAUUUAGAAUUUUUUUAUAAAUUUUUUAUUAUUUUUGUAUUUACAAAACGUUUUUCUAUAUAAAUUCGAUUUUACAAAACGUUUUUUGUAUAUAAAUUCGAUUUUCGGAUUUAUAAAAGAUGAUUUCAUAUUUAUAAAAAUAUUUAUAUUUAUUAAAACUAAUUUUGUAUUUAUAAAACAUUUUUUUGAUUUAUAAACACUAUUUUUUUUAUUUUUGUAUUUAUAAAAACUAUUUUUAAAUAUAAAAAACGUUUUUUGUAUAUAAAUUCGAUUUUUGGAUUUAUAAAAGAUGAUUUCAUAUUUUAAAACUAAUUUUGUAUUUAUAAAACAUUUUUUGAUUUAUAAACACUAUUUUAUUAUUUUUUGUAUUUAUAAAAGCUAUUUUGUAUUUAUAAAAAGAUGAUUUCAUAUCUAUAAAAAUAUUUAUAUUUAUAAAACUAAUUUUGUAUUUAUAAAACAUUUUGUUGAUUUAUAAAUACUAUUUUAUUAUUUUUUGUAUUUAUAAAAACUAUU
This 572-nucleotide long non-coding RNA is filed under the name Brassica rapa (field mustard). RNAcentral describes it as "long non-coding RNA (BRAP_LNC007454)". Lineage: Eukaryota; Viridiplantae; Streptophyta; Magnoliopsida; Brassicales; Brassicaceae. The record is from RNAcentral.